AAUUUUGGACAAUGGGGGAAACCCUGAUCCAGCCAUCCUGCGUGUGCGAUGAAGGUCUUCGGGUUGUAAAGCACUUUUGUCUGGGACGAAAUCGUACAGUCUAAUAUCCUGUUCUGAUGACGGUACCUGAUGAUUAAGCACCGGCUAACUACUUCCCAGCUGCCGCGGUAAUUCGUAGGGUGCAAGCGUUAAUCGGAAUUACUGGGCGUAAAGGGUGCGCAGGCGGUUUAUCAAGAAAGGUGUGAAAUCCCCGGGCUUAACCUGGGAAUGGCACUUUUAACUGAUAGGCUAGAGUAGGUCAGAGGGGGGUAGGAUUCCACGUGUAGCAGUGAAAUGCGUAGAGAUGUGGAGGAAUACCGAUGGCGAAGGCAGCCCCCUGGGAUAAUACUGACGCUCAUGCACGAAAGCGUGGGGAGCAAACA
Molecule: ribosomal RNA, 422 nt
Filed under: uncultured bacterium
Lineage: Bacteria
Description: partial 16S ribosomal RNA
Rfam family: Bacterial small subunit ribosomal RNA
Source: RNAcentral